AGACCGAUAGCGAACAAGUAGAGUGAUCGAAAGAUGAAAAGCACUUUGAAAAGAGGGUUAAAUAGUACGUGAAAUUGUUGAAAGGGAAGCGCUCAUGACCAGACUUGGGCCUGGCGAAUCAUCCGGCGUUCUCGCCGGUGCACUUCGCCAGGCUCAGGCCAGCAUCAGUUCGCCGCGGGGGAUAAAGGUUUCGGGAACGUGGCUCCUCCGGGAGUGUUAUAGCCCGUUGCGUAAUACCCUGCGGUGGACUGAGGUCCGCGCAUCUGCAAGGAUGCUGGCGUAAUGGUCAUCAGCGACCCGUCUUGAAACACGGACCAAG
RNAcentral lists this ribosomal RNA (319 nucleotides) under Sepedonium sp. SW080. RNAcentral describes it as "LSU rRNA". It matches the Rfam family "Eukaryotic large subunit ribosomal RNA", at positions 331 to 670 of the family's 3401-position model. The record is from RNAcentral. Lineage: Eukaryota; Fungi; Ascomycota; Sordariomycetes; Hypocreales; Hypocreaceae.